Molecule: unclassified non-coding RNA, 379 nt
Filed under: uncultured bacterium
Lineage: Bacteria
Description: contains 16S-23S intergenic spacer region
Source: RNAcentral
UCCGGUUUGUCACCGGCAGUCCCAUUAGAGUGCUCAACUAAAUGUGGCAACUAAUGGCAAGGGUUGCGCUCGUUGCGGGACUUAACCCAACAUCUCACGACACGAGCUGACGACAGCCAUGCAGCACCUGUGUUACGGCUCCCUUUCGGGCACCUCUGCAUCUCUGCAGAGUUCCGUACAUGUCAAGGGUAGGUAAGGUUUUUCGCGUUGCGUCGAAUUGAACCACAUCAUCCACCGCUUGUGCGGGUCCCCGUCAAUUCCUUUGAGUUUUAGCCUUGCGGCCGUACUCCCCAGGCGGGGCACUUAAUGCGUUAGCGCCGGCACGGGGGGAGUCGACACCCCCCAGCACCUAGUACCCAUCGUUUACAGCUAGGACUAC